This 385-nucleotide transfer-messenger RNA is filed under the name Helicobacter pylori. It matches the Rfam family "transfer-messenger RNA". From Rfam's summary of the family: Bacterial tmRNA, also known as 10Sa RNA or SsrA, is named for its dual tRNA and mRNA-like properties. Lineage: Bacteria; Pseudomonadati; Campylobacterota; Epsilonproteobacteria; Campylobacterales; Helicobacteraceae. The record is from RNAcentral.
GGGGCUGACUUGGAUUUCGACAGAUUUUUUGUCGCACAGACAGCAUGCCAAGCGCUGCUUGUAAAACAGCAACAAAAAUAACUGUAAACAACACAGAUUACGCUCCAGCUUACGCUAAAGCUGCGUGAGUUAAUCUCCUUUGGAGCUGGACUGAUUAGAAUUUCUAGCGUUUUAAUCACUCCAUAACCUUAAGCUAGACGCUUUUAAAAGGUGGUUCGCCUUUUAAACUAAGAAACAAGAACUCUUGAAACUACCUCAAGGUUUUAGAAAGUUGGACCAGAGCUAGUUUUAAGGCUAAAAAACCAACCAAUUUUCUAAGCAUUGUAGAAGUUUGUGUUUAGGACAAGAUUUUUGGACUGGGGUUCGAUUCCCCACAGCUCCACCA